Molecule: ribosomal RNA, 599 nt
Filed under: uncultured Meliniomyces
Lineage: Eukaryota; Fungi; Ascomycota; Leotiomycetes; Helotiales; Helotiaceae
Description: eukaryotic LSU rRNA
Rfam family: 5.8S ribosomal RNA (bases 180-333)
Source: RNAcentral
UGCGGAAGUAUCAUAUUGAAUCGCCCGGUUUCUCGAAAUGGGUUCUAUUCCCAAACCGUGUAUACAUACCUUUGUUGCUGUGGCAGUCCGCCUUUUAGGCGUUGGCUUCAGGUGACUGCGCCUGCCAGAGGACCCAAACUUGUUUGUUUAGUGAUGUCUGAGUCCUAUAUAAUAGUUAAAACUUUCAACAACGGAUCUCUUGGUUCUGGCAUCGAUGAAGAACGCAGCGAAAUGCGAUAAGUAAUGUGAAUUGCAGAAUUCAGUGAAUCAUCGAAUCUUUGAACGCACAUUGCGCCCCUUGGUAUUCCGAGGGGCACGCCUGUUCGAGCGUCAUUAUAACCACUCAAGCCUCGGCUUGGUCUUGGGGUUCCGCGAUCUCUAGCGGCCCUUAAAAUCAGUGGCGGUGCCAUCUGGCUCUAAGCGUAGUAAUUUUCUCGCUAUAGGGUCCCGGUGGUCUCCUGCCAGAAACCCCCCAUUUUUUAAGGUUGACCUCGGAUCAGGUAGGGAUACCCGCUGAACUUAAGCAUAUCAAUAAGCGGAGGAAAAGAAACCAACAGGGAUUGCCUCAGUAACGGCGAGUGAAGCGGCAACAGCUCAAA